UACGUAGGGUGCGAGCGUUGUCCGGAAUUAUUGGGCGUAAAGAGCUCGUAGGCGGUUUGUCACGUCUGCUGUGAAAUCCCGAGGCUCAACCUCGGGCCUGCAGUGGGUACGGGCAGACUGGAGUGCGGUAGGGGAGAAUGGAAUUCCUGGUGUAGCGGUGGAAUGCGCAGAUAUCAGGAGGAACACCAAUAGCGAAGGCAGCUCGCUGGGACGAUACUGACGCUAAGGCGCGAAAGCGUGGGGAGCGAACAGG
RNAcentral lists this ribosomal RNA (253 nucleotides) under uncultured bacterium. RNAcentral's name for it is "partial 16S ribosomal RNA". It matches the Rfam family "Bacterial small subunit ribosomal RNA", at positions 524 to 776 of the family's 1533-position model. The record is from RNAcentral.